GACGAACGCUGGCGGCGUGCCUAAUACAUGCAAGUAGAACGCACAGUUUAUACCGUAGCUUGCUACACCAUAGACUGUGAGUCGCGAACGGGUGAGUAACGCGUAGGUAACCUGCCUGGUAGCGGGGGAUAACUAUUGGAAACGAUAGCUAAUACCGCAUGAUAUUAAUUAUUGCAUGAUAAUUGAUUUAAAGAUGCAACUGCAUCCCUACCAGAUGGACCUGCGUUGUAUUAGCUAGUAGGUGAGGUAACGGCUCACCUAGGCGACGAAUCAUAGACGAGCCGGAGGGGAGGUCCGCUCACACUGGAAUGGGGACCCGCCCCGGCCUCUUCCGGGGGGAGCAAUAGGGAAUUUUUGGAAAAGGGCGGAAGGCUGGCCGAGCCAAGCCGGGUGGGUGAAGAAGGUUUUCGGAUCGUAAAGGUCCGUUGUGAGAGGAGAACGGGUGGUAGAGUGGAAAGUUCACGCUGUGACGGUAUCUUAACAGAAAGCGACGGCUAACUACGUG
Molecule: ribosomal RNA, 505 nt
Filed under: uncultured bacterium
Lineage: Bacteria
Description: partial 16S ribosomal RNA
Rfam family: Bacterial small subunit ribosomal RNA
Source: RNAcentral